Equus caballus (horse) is the source of this 1727-nucleotide long non-coding RNA. Lineage: Eukaryota; Metazoa; Chordata; Mammalia; Perissodactyla; Equidae. The record is from Ensembl.
UGACAUUUUAUCAACUUCUUGGCUCAACAGAUUUCAUUUUGAUAAACAACACUCUGUGAUGGUUGUGUUAGAAGCGUUCUGAGUGGUGACCUCUAACCUUUGCAUCUGAGUCUUCACCUCUUCCGCACUCGUGAGUGACGGGCCGUCAAGGCACACGCUGCAGGCUCUCCUCCUCGCACCUCUGCUUCCUGGUGCCCGCGGCCCUCGUGUCUUUCGAGUUCGUUGGUCUCUUCCUCUGGUGCUGCUGAGGUUCUCUGUGUCCUCCACUCGACAGUGCGGAAACAGCCAUGUCUGCCUCAGUCCACUCACGUGAGCAGCCACACGGGACCCUCAGCCACCCGUUAACCGUGCGGAUCUAACGUGGCCUCAGUAUUGAUCCGCCCCGUUGGUUUGGUUUCAUCUUGCAGGACAGGCUCCUGUGACAAGCUCUCUAAGGAGUUUGGACUCUUGCUUCUGUCACAGCCACAGAGCCUCGGGUCGCCUCCCACGACGUCAUUCCAGGCAGUAAUGGAGUCGCUGACGGGGCAAGGCGAGGACAGUGUGGGCCCCAACAGCUCCUUUCCUCCAGUGCAGCAGCUUGGCGGGCUGGCUGCUCAGCCCGCAUCUGCACCAUCGCCCUGAAGCUCAGAAGGUCCUGGGGACUCGGGCGGGUGCUUCGCCGAAGUGCUGAUUCUGCGUCUGCAGAAGGGCCGUCCCAGGCCCCCUGGAGCCGGUGCACGCCUGUCAGAUGCAGUGACUCGUUCAGUCCUGGGUUAACUGGAUCACAGCACGGUCCUGCCCAGUGGAGCCUCACUCUGGGGGACCAGGCGCCAAAAGGAUGCCUGCAGGAUCCCGAGACUUCUCAGCGCAACGAGACGGGGCCAGGGUGCUGCUCCCAGACAGGUAUGUGGGCUCCCAACGUUCCAGAGGAAGCAAGGACGUCAGGAGCCAGGAGAACAGCUGAGACGAGCCAAUUCUCCAAAGAGACACGGACCCCCAGCACAGGCCGCACACUAAGGAUGCGUAUGUGACCCGUCGUGCAGAGCCUGGGAAAUGCAUUGUGACAGCGCAGGAAACAGACACGCUGAGGCCACCCCAAGAAAAGGGCCUUGUCCUAAGGCUCCGGGAGCCCCCAGCAGAAUGGGGCAUAUGGGUCCAGGCGCCCUCCUGGCCCCUCCACGCGCUGCGCUGCAUGUGGAAGCCUGGAUCACGGCCAGUCACUGCCGGCACCCACGGGCACAGGGCGCCAGCCAGGCCGCGGCAGUGAAGACGGAUGACGAGGCCCAGCCUGGUGUGCCCACCCCGCCUUUGUCCUCUGCCCCGCAUUCCACUCCCACCUAGCUCAGAGGGCAGCUGCCCACACAGUCCCCUGUCCUGGCUCCUCAGCACCCCGAGACUCUGAAUGAGGGGACCUGCAAGGCCUGCACCCCUGCCCUGGGGGCUCGGCAAGGGUUUUUACUGGAGUGGGUUUUUCCAUCAAAAUCGAGACUCUGGGGGCCAGCCUGGUGGCAUAGUGGUUAAGUUUGCCUGCUCUGCUUCAGUGGCCUAGGUUCGUGGGUUCAGACCCCCGGCAUGGACCUACACCACUUAUCAAGCCGUGCUGUGGCAGCAUCCCACAUGCAAAAUAGAGCAAGAUUAGCACAGAUGUCAGCUCAGGGACAAUCUUCCUCACCAAAAACAAAAACCCCAAAGUUCUGGGAGCAGCUGUUAUAAUUUACAAACUGCUUUAAAUCUUGACCAUCCGAGCC